This 254-nucleotide ribosomal RNA is filed under the name uncultured bacterium. RNAcentral's name for it is "partial 16S ribosomal RNA". It matches the Rfam family "Bacterial small subunit ribosomal RNA", at positions 524 to 776 of the family's 1533-position model. The record is from RNAcentral.
UACGGGGGGAGCAAGCGUUGUUCGGAUUUACUGGGCGUAAAGGGCGGGUAGGCGGCCACCGCAAGUCAGUUGUGAAAUCUCUGGGCUUAACCCAGAAAGGUCAACUGAUACUGCGGGGCUAGAGUGCAGAAGGGGCAACUGGAAUUCUCGGUGUAGCGGUGAAAUGCGUAGAUAUCGAGAGGAACACCUGCGGCGAAGGCGGGUCUCUGGGCCGAUACUGACGCUGAGGAGCGAAAGCGUGGGGAGCGAACAGG